RNAcentral lists this long non-coding RNA (9811 nucleotides) under Homo sapiens (human). RNAcentral describes it as "HSALNT0342316". Lineage: Eukaryota; Metazoa; Chordata; Mammalia; Primates; Hominidae. The record is from RNAcentral.
AGCUCUCCCUGGGGACACGAGGACGGUGAGGCGCGCUCCCCGCGUCCCUCCUUCGAGACCCAGGAAAGGGCUCGUGCCGCGCCCCAUCCUAGGAGCGGGCAGGGGGUGCUCACCGUGACGUUGCCGAUGGCGCUGUAGGGGCAGUAGACGUCAGGGUCCUCCAGCGGCAGCUGCUCUCCGACCUUCCCGGCCUCAUCGACCCAGUGCAGGGUGUUGGGGUGAGCCCUGGGGAGCGGGGCUGGUGAGCGCCCCGAGCCGCGUCCCCCUCCCCGCGCGCCCCCCGCCCGCGCGCGCACUCACGGAUCCGGGAAUUGCAGCCCCACGUAGUGCGUGUCGGUCCACACGUGGUCCAGCUUCUGGCGGGAGAGCGCCGCGCGAAUGUCCUGAGUCAGAGCGGCCAUCCCGGCCGAGCCUGCCACCCGUUCCCGAAGGCUGGUUUGCCUAAGCGGGGAGAGACGAGAAGUCUUGCUGUGUUUCCCAAGCUGGUCUUGAACUCCUGGCCUCAAGCGAUCCUCCCAAAGUGCUGGGACUACAGGCAUGAACCAUGACGACCCGCCCCAUAUGUGUAUUUAAAGCUACACAUCAAAAGCGUGAGAUAAGGUGCUUAUGGGGAGGGGAGUGGGGAGGAUCACUCAGGGAUGAGGCAGGAAAAUUCAAUUCAAAACAGUUAAAGUAGCCAGUAAGGCCCUUUAGGGCCUGAGCUACAUCCACCUCACCGGCCACAUGGACCAUCUUUCCCUUCCUCCAAGAGGCCACCAUCUUCACAUUUCAGACCCUUCGCAAAUGGUGAAUCUCAGCCUGAAUGUUUUUCCACAGUCUCUUUGCCUGGCAAAUUACUCAUCUUGGCAGUUUAGACUCGUCAGUUCCUCAACGAAGCCUUCCCUGAACUGCAAUCUAAAUCAGGAUCCUGGUUAUAGUCUUUCUUUACACACUUUUCUUUUCUUUUUUCUUUCUUUCUUUCUUUUUUUUUUUGAGACGGAGUCUCGCUCUGUCGCCCAGGCUGGUGUGUAGUCGUGCAAUCUCAGCUCACUGCAACCUCUGCCUCCUGGGUACAAGUGAUUCUCCUGCCUCAGCCUCCUGAGUAGCUAGGACCACAGGCGCCUACCACCACACUCAGCUAGUUUUGUAUUUUUUUAGUAGAGACAGGGUUUCGGCAUGUCGGCUAGGCUGGUCUCAAACUCCUGGCCUCAGGCAAUCAGCCCACCUUCACCUCCCAAAAUGCUGGGAUUACAGGUAUGAGCCAUGGCGCCCGGCCCCUUUUCUUUUCUUUUUUUGGAGAUAGGGUCUCACUCUGUCACCCAGCCUGGAGUGCAGUGGCAUGACCAUAGCUCACUGCAACCUUCAGCUCCUAAGCUCAAGCCAUCCUCCUGCCUCAGCCUCCUGAAUAGCCGGGACUCUAGGCAUGCACCACCAUACUGGGCUAAUUUUUUAUUUUUCUUUUUUAAAAAAUUAUUAUUAUUAUUAUUAUUAUUAUUUUUGACAUGGAGUUUCACUCUUGUUGCCCAAGCUGGAAUGCAAUGGCGCAAUCUUGGCUCACUGCAACCUCCACCUCCCAGGUUCAAACAAUUCUCCUGCCUCAGCCUCCCAAGUAGCUGGGAUUAUAGGUGCCCGCCAACAUGCCCAGCUAAUUUUUUUUGUAUUUUUAGUAGAGCCUAAAAAGGGUGAAACAGUGUUUCACCAUGUUGGCCAGGCUGGUCUCGAACUCCUGUCCUCAGGAGAUCCACCUGCCUUGGCCUCCCAAAGUGCUGGGAUUACAGGUGUGAGCCACCGUGCCUGGUCAAAUUAUUAUUAUUUUUUUAAGAGACAGGAUCUCUCUAUGUUGCCCAGGCUGGUCUCAAACUGGGCUCAAGAGAUCCUCCCACCUCAGCCUCCCAAAGUGCUGGGCUCACAGGUGUGAGCCACCACACUGAGCCUCACAUCCUUUGCUUUUCUUUCAAAGCAAUGAUUCCAGUCAUAAUUAUGUAGUCGUGAAUGAUUGUUAGUUUAGUAUUGGUUUUCUCCAGUGGAUUGUAAGCACCAUGAGAACAAAGUUAGACUGUUUUAGUCUCUAUCUCACCACCACCUGCUUAGCUUAGUACCUGCCACGUAGUAGAUGCCCCAAAAUACUUGUUGGAUAAAUGAAUUAAUUACUUCAUCAUUGUCACCUCCAGUCCAGGCACUCCACUUCCCUGGUCACACCCUGCAUCUUUUUUUUUUUUUUUUUUUUUUUGAGAUGGAGUCUUGCUCUGUUUCACAGGCUGGAGUGCAUUGGUGCGAUCUCAGCUCACUGCAACCUCUGCCUCCCAGUUUCAAGUGAUUCUCCUGCCUCAGCCUCCCGAGUAGCUGGGAUUACAGGCAUGCACCAUCACACCCAGUUAAUUUUUGUAUUUUUAGUAGAGACAGGAUUUCACCAUGUUGGCCAGGCUGGUCUCAAACUCCUGACCUCAGAUGAUCCACCUGCCUUGACCUCCCAAAGUGCUGGGAUUACAGGCGUGAGCCACUGUGCCUGGCCCGUAUCCUGCAUCUUGUCAUUACCCGCACUCCAUCUCUGGAAUACUUAUCCAUUGAGGAUCUACUGAACAUCUAGUAAGUGCCAGGCAUUGUGGUAGGUGCUGGAGACUCUGAGAUAGACAGGAUAUAUUGUAUCAGGAAGUUUUCAAGGAUCCAGAAUCCUACUCUCUGAGUAGACCCUGUCAGGUUCCAACUCCCCCAGUUAUCCUCGCUGUACCUGCUCUUCAACCCCAUUGAACAUGACAAAUGUCCUAUAGCUCCACAUGUAUCAUCUCCCCCCACUUUCUCUUCCCUCUCCAUCCCACCGAGAGCCAUGUUUCACUCUUGUUGCCCAGGCUGGAAUGCAAUGGCGCGAUCUCGGCUCACUGCAACAUCCUUGCUCUCUCCCCAAAACUGCUACUUUUGCCUCAGUGCCACACCCCGCUUCUAGACCUGUCAAACUAUCUACCUGCUCAGCCUGUACCCAGAUGACCAAAUACUGCUCAAAAAAAUAAAAGUAGCCCUGAACAGGCUGGGCACCAUGGCUUACGCCUGUAAUCCAAGAAAUUUGGGAGGCCAAGGUAGGAGGAUUGCUUGAGCCCAGGAGUUCGAAACCAGCCUGGCCAACAUGAUGAAACCCUGUCCCUAAAAAAAAUACAUAAAUUGCCGGGCGCAGUGGCUCACACCUGUAAUCCCAGCACUUUGGGAGGCCGAGGUGGGUGGAUCUCCUGAGGUCAGGAGUUCGAGACCAGACUGACCAACAUGGAGAAACCCCAUCUCCACUAAAAAUACAAAAUUAGCUGGGUGUCGUGGCGCAUGACUGUAAUCCCAGCUACUCGGGGAGCUGAGGCAGGAGAAUCGCUUGAACCCGGGAGGCGGAGUUUGCAGUGAGCCAAGAUCGUGCCAUUGCUCUCCAGCCUGGGCAACAAGAGUGAAACUCUGUCUCACAAAAAAAAAGAAAAAAACAAAAAACAAACAAAAAAAUCAUAAAUUAGCUGGGCAUGGUGGCUCACGCCUGUAGUCCCAGCUACUUGGGAAGCUGAGGCACAAAAAUCACCUGAAGCCGGGAGGCGGAGGUUACAGUGAGCUAAGAUCAUGCCACUGUACUCCAGCUUGGGCAACAGAGUGAGAAUUGGUUGCAAAUAUAUAAAAAUAAAUAAAUCCUGUCCCUAAAUAAUAAUAAUAAUUUUGAAAAAAGAAAAAUGAAAAAUUAGCUGGGCGUGGUGGCCCCUCCCUGUAGACCCAGCUACUCAGGAGGCUGAGAUGGGAGAAUCACCUGAGCUUGGGAAAUCGAGGCUGCAGUGAGCCCAGAUUGCACCACUGCAUUCUAGCCUAGGUGACAGAGCAAGGCCCUGUCUCAAAAAAAAAUUAAUGUAAUUUAAUUUUUUUUUUUUUGAGAUGGAGUUUCACUCUUGUUGCCCAGGCUGGAGUGCAAUGGCACGACGUUGACUCACCGCAACCUCCGCCUCCUGGGUUUAAGCGAUUCUCCUGCUUCAGCCUCCCGAGUAGCUGGGAUUACAGGCAUGCGCCACUACGCCCGGCUAAUUUUGUAUUUGUUUUGUUUUUUUGAGACAGAGUCUUGCUCUGUCGCCCAGGCUGGAGUGCAGUGGCGCGAUCUCGGUUCACUGCAAGCUCCGCCUCCCGGGUUCAUGCCAUUCUCCUGCCUCAGCCUCCCAAGUAGCUGGGACUAUAGGUGCCCGCCACCACGCCCAGCUAAUUUUUUGUGUUUUUAGUAGAAACGGGGUUUCACCAUGUUAGCCAGGAUAGUCUCGAUCUCCUGACCUCAUGAUCUGCCCACCUCGGCCUCCCAAAGUGCUGGGAUUACAGGUGUGAGCCACCAUGCCUGACCUGUAAUUUAAUUUAAAAGCCCUGAGCAGGCUGGGUGCGGUACCUCAUUCCUAUAAUCCCAGCAUUUUGGGAGGCUGAGGUGGGAGGAUUGUUUGAGGCCAGUAGUUUGAGACCAUCCUGGGCAACAUAGGGAGACCUCGUUUCUACUAAAAAAAAUUAAAAAUUAGGCUGGGCAUGGUGGCUCAUGCCUGUAAUCCCUGCACUUUGGGAGGCCGUGGUGGGUGGAUCAUCUGAGGUCAGGAGUUUGAGACCAGUCUGCCCAACAUGGUGAAACCCCGUCUCUACUAAAAAUACAAAAAAUUGGUUGGGUGUGGUGGCAGGCACCUGUGAUCCCAGCUACUCGGGAGGCUAAGGCAGGAGAAUUGCUUGAACCUGGGAGGUGGAGGUUGCCAUGAGCCGAGAUCGCACCACUGCACUCCAGCCUGGGCAACAGUGAAACUCUGUCUCAAAAAAAGUAAAAAAAAAAAAAAUAGCCGGGCAUAGUGGCACACAUCUGUAGUCCUAGCUACUUGAAAGGCUAAGGUGGGAGGAUCACUUGGGUCCAGGAGUUGGAGGCUGCAGUGAGCUAUCAUCUCGGCACUGUCUGGGUGACAGUGAGGCCCUAUCUCAAAAAAAUAAAGCCCUGAACAUUGUUGAUUCCACAGACUCAAGGUCUUUCAGCAGGUGAAUCCAGCAACAUAUCAAAAGAGUAAUCAUACACCUUGAUCAAGGUUAGCGUUGAGCUCAGGAAGAUAAGGAAAUCUAUUAACACAAAUUACUAUAUAAACAUUAAAGAAGAGGCUGGGUGCUGUGGCUCAUGCCUGUAAUCCCAGCACUUUGGGAAGCCGAAGCGCUUUGGCAGAUCGCUUGAGCUUACGAGUUGGAGACCAACCUGGGCAACAUGGCAAAACCCUGUCUCUACUAAAAAAUACAAAAAUUAAUCAAGCGUGAUGGCACACACCUGUAAUCCCAGCUACUCAGGAGGCUGAGGCAUGAGAAUCGCGUGAACCUGGGAGGCGGAGGCUGCAGUGAGCCAAGAUUGCACCACUGCACUCCAGCCUGGGUGAUAAGAGGGAGACUCCGUCUCAAAAAAUCAAUCAAUCAAUAAAAGUCUCAGUGAGCUAGGAGUGAAAGGAAACUUCCUUAAUUCAAUUUUAAAAAGCUGUCUGGAGCACAGCAAAGUUCAUUGUCAAUGGCAAAGUAUUAUAAAAGCAUUGCUAUUAAAGUCAGGAAAUAGGCAAGGAUACCUACUGCCACGGUUACCUUAAAUUCAUGUCCUCUCAAAUGCAAUGAGAAAUGAAAAAAAAAAAAACGUAGAAGGUAUAAGCAUUGGAAAAGAGAAUCUCCAUCUCCUACUAUCUGUAGCUUAGCUGAUUACCUACUUAGAAAACCCAGGCGAAUCCACUGAAAAAUUACUCCCGUCCCAAAAGAGGGCUAUGGGUGGACCUAGCUUUUGGAUCUGCACCCACAAAUGCAUUUGCUUACUUGUUUUUCUUUUUUUCUUUUCUUUUUUUUUUUUUUUGAGAUGGAGUCUCGCUCUGUUGCCCAGGCUGAAGUGCAGUGGCGUGAUCUCGGCUCAAUGCAUGCUCCACCUCCUGGGUUCAAGCCAUUCUCCUGCCUCAGCCUCCCGAAUAGCUGGGACUAGAGGCGCCCGCCACCAUGCCCGGCUAAUAUUUUGUGUUUUUAGUACAGACGGGGUUUCACCGUGUUAGCCAAGAUGGUCUCGAUAUCCUGACCUAGUGAUCUGCCCGCCUCCGCCUCCCAAAGUGCUGGGAUUACAGGCCUGAGCCACCGCACCCUGCCGUUAUUUUGUUUUUGAAACAGGGUCUCGCUCUGUCUCCCAGGCUGGAGUGCAGUGGCAUAAUCUCGGCUCACUGCAACCUCCGCCUCCCCGGCUCAGGCAAUCCUCCCCCGUCAAGCUCCCAAGUAACUGGGACUACAGGCACUCGCCAUCAUCCCCAGCUAAUUUUUGUGUUUUCUUUGGUAGAGACGGGGUUUCAUCGUAUUGCCCAGGCUUGCUUGCUUGGUUUUCUGAUUCCCUAGAAUGCGGCUUCUCAGAACCCCUCAGCGCUCCCUGCUCCAAAUCUAGGCGCCUGGGUGAGGCAUUCAAGGCUUUUCUGGGUCUGUCCAGUCUGAUACUGGAUGCUGCACCCCUCUGAUCUCAGACAGUCAGCUCCCUCACCUCCCAAAUAUGCCACCCUCAGAGCCUCAGUCCCCUGGAACCUCAGCUCCGAAUGCCUGCCAUCCUUCCCAGGACCGCUGAACAGGGGGGCCAGGAAGGCAGAUGGGAGGACUCAGGAGGGGGACCCAGACACCAGAGGCCUGGGCCAGGAGGCAGGGAGGCCCAGUCUGAGCGGAUGAGGGGAGGGACACUCGAGAACAGGAUGGGGCAGGGCCAUCCCUACCUGAUGGUGUCCUCCAGGCGCCCCUCCCCCAGGAACUGCAGGAACAUGGCCUGGAGGUCGCUCCAGUAGAGUCUGCCCUGGUGGAAAUCCAGGUCAGGCUCAUAGUUGACAUCCUCACUGACCACCAACACAGAGUCUCCGCACGCCUGGCAGGACCCUCGGAAGGCGACGUAGCCCAGUAGGAAGGCUGGCGGGUGGCAAGAUGGGGAUUCUCUUUAUGCCCACCUCUGGACCCCAGAAAUCUCCCCCAGCCCAAGCCCUUCACUUCUGGGGAGGGGGACGGCUCUCACCCCCAGUGAAGAUCAGCAGGGCCGUCAGGACCAGGUAGGGGGCAGCCCUCCGUCCUGCUGCCGCCCAGGGAAUGAGGUUUGGCUGCCUGGGUCUAGAGCCCAGGGGCUCAGGGCCCCUCAGCUCCAUGGGGCAGAAGUGGGCCAAUGUCUCCGCCCCCUCCUCCCCGUCUUCCUCUUCCUCCUCCAGGUGCCCUUUCCGGGGGCCUUCCACACGCUGGUAGACGGUCUGAGAGGAUCUUGGGGACAGUUGUUGCUGUGCAGGCGAGGUGGGCAUGAGAUUGGGGCAAGAGGCCUGGGGGGUGGGGAGGCAUCUGGCAAUAAUGAGGUCAGUGACUUGGGGGUGUCAAAUGAGCAUGGUGGUGGGGGCGUGGGGGAGGGGCAGGGGUGGGAAGAAGCGAGGUCAGGACACGGUCCAGGAGGGGCCAGCCUCAGGGGCUUGGGAGGGGGCUGAGGGACUUAGAGAGAAGGCCUAAGGGGUCUUCCCAAUCCCACUAGUCUUACCGCUCUCUGGAAUAGACCCCAAAGCCGCUCCAUGCUUGUGUCCCCUCCUGAAGCCUGCAGGCUGUCCCCCAGCGAUAAACCGAUAAACCGUUUGUGGGAGCCCUAGGAGGGCCCCUUAUCAGUCCUGGCAGGCAGCCUGAACCAAGGCUGCUCCUCACCACCCCCAAGGGUGGGGGCACAGUCCUGGCCUCAGUCCAGCCUUCCAGACGUGGCCCCCGGGUCCAGGCCAGAGCACAAGGGGCUGUGCUCUCCCCUGCCAAUCUCUCCACAGCCCCACGCCUGCCUCCUCCCUGCAAAACAAUCAAUUUUUUGACCUUGGGGCGGACUUUGGCCUCCUAGUUCCCAUCAGGGGUGGGGGAAGGGGGCCGAUAGUGGGGGAGGGCAGAGACAUGGGUGCCCCCUCCCCUCUCCUGCUUUUACCCCUCCCUGGAUCCUGGGGACCCCUUCCUAAGCCCCGCCAUGCCCAGGUGGAAGAUUCACCCCUAAGACAUCUGCCCCUUCCUCAUCUGGCCUUCAGAGUCCCCCAGUGCCCCGGUCCUGUGACAUAUCAGCUGUCCUCCCUGUCCUGACACUUGCCCCAGUGGCAUUCUAAGCUGGAGGCACCACAGUGGUGUGACUUGGGGGUCUGGUCUGGUGGUGUGCAUGUGUGUCUCUUUUGAAAGGUCGUUCUCAGACUCCUGCUGGCUGCUGGAGAAGGAGGGGCACAGGUGGGAGCACAUGGUCAGAUGAGACCAGCGAGAGCUCCCAGAUAGGGGUCCUGGGGUCAGGGAUAUGUGGGUCAGUGGGGAGGAGUGAUCAGAGUCCCCGCCAAGGUGUGGGCAGAGCUGGGUGACCCUGGACAAGUCAUGGUCCUCCCUGGGCACCGGCCCGUUUGGUCACCGAAGGACUUGGAUCACAUGGGUUUCUACCUCUUUGGGUUCUGAGGCUGAUGAAAGGCCAGUUAGCCUCACCCCAGAAACAUGUCACAGGCAUAAACUGCUAAACAGGCAGGGGGCGCAGGUCCCCAAACCCUUCCGAGGGCCCCAAGACAAGUAGCUCUGAAGAGGAGGGCUCAGGGUCCCACCAAGUUUCCCUUUCGGGUUUCCCCUGGGAAACAUCAGCUCCUACUCAGGUCCAGAGAAGUUCCGAGCUGCUGGGAUGCACCAGCGCCCUAGUCCCCGCCCCAUGUCUGUCACCACCAAGAGCCCCAGGAAGGAAGGCAUAGCGCAUCUCACCUGAGCGCAGGUCCUGGGGUGCUCAGGCGUGCUGCUCCCCUGAGACCUAAGGCCUACGCUGAGGCCCCGCCCACCAGGCCCCACCUCCUGUUCCGCCCAUCCAGGCUUCACCUCCUGCUCCACCCACCUCCUGCCACACUCACCCCAGGCCGUGCCCCUCCACUGCACCCUGCAGCCCCUCCCACCUCCCACCACAACUGUUAGCCCCCAGCAACUCCCCCAACCCCCGGUCCUCGUCAUGUGGCCCUCCCUGGGUCACAACCCCUAGGAAACCUGAGGAAUCCAUGGCCCCUGGGGCUGUGUCCCAGCACCCACUGUGGGAUCGGCAUGGGUGUAGAAGUGAGACUCCCUCCCCUCACCUCCCUCCAGACCCCUGUGCCCACUCCCCACCCCACGGAGGCCAAACUUUUUUUUCUUAAAACAUUUUUACUUCUUUCAACCCAGAAACAUCACCAUUAAUGAGGACAAGAGGGAAAGGAGGAGGGGGGCAAUGUGGCAUGGGGGUUAAGGGACUUCCAUCUGAGCUUGGGAGCAGGUGUGUGGGGAGGAGUGCCAUCAGGGGCACUUUCGCUCCACGCACUGCUUCCCGCCCUCCUCAUAUUCCUGCUUGGAGAUCCACAUCUGCUGGAAAGUGCCCUGGGUGGAGGGGGUAAUAUCAGGGUCAGGGUGGCCUUGGAGGGAGGUGUGGACAGGCAGGUGCAGCCCCUGGGAAUCCUCCAACAGGCCCCAACCACCCCUUGGGUUCACAUCCCUCUGAAGCCCCUCCCCACCUCAUCCUCCCCUCCUCGGUCUGUCCCCUUUCAUAUUCAGAGGGAGAGUAUCCUCUUCAUAUCAUUCAAUCAAUAAUUCAUUCAUUCAACAAGUAUUAUUGAACAGCAGUCUCUGCCCUGAGCUAGGCCCUGUUCCUGAGCUGGGGGGAUGGCACGCACAGCCCCAGGCCAGGCAACCUGCACCUGGCACUCAACACCCCCUACACACACACAGUCCUUCCCCACCAGGUGUCCUCUUCUCACUCCAUCAGGGCUUUGGAACACCGCCAGUCUCCCUCUUUCCCAAGGAAGAUAUUCCCUCCACCUCACCAUUCCAACACUGUGGCACCCCAUCU